CAGCAGCCACGGGAAUACGAAGGGUGCAAGCGUUAACCGGAAUUACUGGGCGUAAAGCGUGCGUAGGCGGUUUGUUAAGUCUGCUGUGAAAUCCCCGGGCUCAACUUGGGAAUGGCAGUGGAUACUGGCAAGCUAGAGUGUGUCAGAGGAUGGUGGAAUUCCCGGUGUAGCGGUGAAAUGCGUAGAGAUCGGGAGGAACAUCAGUGGCGAAGGCGGCCAUCUGGGACAACACUGACGCUGAGGCACGAAAGCGUGGGGAGCAAACAGGAUUAGAUACCCCAGUAGUCCCUGUCUCUUAUAC
RNAcentral lists this ribosomal RNA (301 nucleotides) under uncultured bacterium. RNAcentral describes it as "partial 16S ribosomal RNA". It matches the Rfam family "Bacterial small subunit ribosomal RNA", at positions 509 to 807 of the family's 1533-position model. The record is from RNAcentral.